This 541-nucleotide ribosomal RNA is filed under the name uncultured Lachnospiraceae bacterium. Its description in RNAcentral is "bacterial SSU rRNA". It matches the Rfam family "Bacterial small subunit ribosomal RNA", at positions 147 to 706 of the family's 1533-position model. The record is from RNAcentral. Lineage: Bacteria; Bacillati; Bacillota; Clostridia; Lachnospirales; Lachnospiraceae.
CAAUCAGAAAUGAUUGCUAAUACCGCAUAAGCGCACAGGACCGCAUGGUCCGGUGUGAAAAACUCCGGUGGUAUAAGAUGGACCCGCGUUGGAUUAGCUUGUUGGUGAGGUAACGGCCCACCAAGGCGACGAUCCAUAGCCGGCCUGAGAGGGUGAACGGCCACAUUGGGACUGAGACACGGCCCAGACUCCUACGGGAGGCAGCAGUGGGGAAUAUUGCACAAUGGGGGAAACCCUGAUGCAGCGACGCCGCGUGAAGGAAGAAGUAUCUCGGUAUGUAAACUUCUAUCAGCAGGGAAGAUAGUGACGGUACCUGACUAAGAAGCCCCGGCUAACUACGUGCCAGCAGCCGCGGUAAUACGUAGGGGGCAAGCGUUAUCCGGAUUUACUGGGUGUAAAGGGAGCGUAGACGGACUGGCAAGUCUGAUGUGAAAGGCGGGGGCUCAACCCCUGGACUGCAUUGGAAACUGUUAGUCUUGAGUGCCGGAGAGGUAAGCGGAAUUCCUAGUGUAGCGGUGAAAUGCGUAGAUAUUAGGAGGAA